This 253-nucleotide ribosomal RNA is filed under the name uncultured bacterium. Its description in RNAcentral is "partial 16S ribosomal RNA". It matches the Rfam family "Bacterial small subunit ribosomal RNA", at positions 524 to 776 of the family's 1533-position model. The record is from RNAcentral.
UACGAAGGGGGCUAGCGUUGCUCGGAAUCACUGGGCGUAAAGGGUGCGUAGGCGGGUCUUUUAGUCAGGGGUGAAAUCCCCCGGCUUAACCUGGGAACUGCGUCUGAUACUGGGAGGCUUGAGUAUGGGAGAGGGAUGUAGAAUUCCAGGUGUAGCGGUGAAAUGCGUAGAUAUCUGGAGGAAUACCGGUGGCGAAGGCGGCAUCCUGGACCAUAACUGACGCUGAGACGCGAAAGCGUGGGGAGCAAACAGG